GGCUACGUCGUGUUUUUCAUUUAACAGUUCACGGCGGGUCUAUUUUGAUGUUUUAAAAUGUAGCUUACGCUAUGCAUUACGAUGUGUUUACGUGGUUGCCAAUCCAAAAUAAUAAAGGAGUUGUUACAUGAACAUACACGAUUUUGGUUACAUGUGGAAUAAAGUCUGAGUCUUGAGAGUCUGUCACUGCAAACCUUCAGUUUCCUCCAUACUCCCCUUUGCGAUUCAUUGCUGCAUGGCAUUACGCCUACUUAACUUGCCGUGUUUCGAUCUGAGGUCAGUAGUAUUUAUUAAAGUUAUUAUAGUUUUUAUUAAAAGCUGCUAAUAUUAGUUAACUUUAAAUCGACUCGUUUUGUAUUAGUAUGGGUCUAUAUAUAGGCUAAUAUAUCUAUCUAUAUAAUCUAAAUGAGGAAUAAUCCCUUCAAUGGUGGUUACAGAACACAAUAAGGAACAUAAUAUGCAUUUCUGCCUAGACUAUCUGCACUUACAUGAAGAAAGAACUACAAACAAGUCUGGGGAAACGUUACAGAGUAUUUCAACGCAUAGUGUGCACACAGAAGUGACAUGAGACCAGAGGUGGACAGUAGUGAAAGUCGCGGUACAAAGGUGCUCAAGCGUGGAACAGAUCGUGCAGUGUCGUCGCUAAACAGAAUUGUCUACUACGUCAUUAUGCGCAUGCGUGAACGGAUCGUGCAGGCAUCCCGGAUCGUGUACCGACAGCAUCUCUAAAGCAUACAGAGCAGUCAGUUCACAAAUAGAUCUCACUGUGCGUUGAUGUCGCCGAUCCGUCUGCGAUCAAACAUCUGUCUGGCACGAGUGUUCACCGGUGUUGUUCCGCUCGCGCGACAGCCGGGAAUUCAAAAUGACGUUUCGCAACAACCUCUCGACUGUCCCAUUGGAGAAUUUUCAGUAUUUUCCAGUUGAGCAGCAAAAAAAUGGACACCCAAGGCCAACAGACCAGCCCACCCUGAUGCUCAUCCUUGCACUGCCUGGGACACCUAAGGCCAACAGCCGCAGCUCCUGUUCUCUUUUUGCCAUAAAUACAUAUCUACUUUAGCAAUGCAAAAUUGUGAAAUGUACUAUAGAAAUAAUUUUUACUUUGACUACAUGGAUCCUCACACCACCUGGUAUUAGCAGGAAACCCAUUUGGAGAGAACAGCAUUGUUUUCUCUAGCUUGCAAGGAUUUGCUUUUUGGCAAAUUACAACUUCACCAUUGGUGUAGGCCUUGCUAUGAGAGACUUCUUUUUUGCUGGACUUUUUUACAAUUGUACAUUUGUACAAAGUACCUGAAAUAUUUCUGUAUGUACAGUAUAUUUAAAAUUAAGGCAAAUUAUUAAGGUUUUGUUAAGAUAAAGACUUUUCAUUUAUAACAAUAU
Triplophysa rosa is the source of this 1377-nucleotide long non-coding RNA. RefSeq lists it as uncharacterized. The record is from RefSeq and is a predicted model, not a curated record. The transcript is spliced from 3 exons. NCBI's taxonomy places the organism in Eukaryota, Metazoa, Chordata, Actinopteri, Cypriniformes, Nemacheilidae.